RNAcentral lists this long non-coding RNA (1299 nucleotides) under Sparus aurata (gilthead seabream). RNAcentral describes it as "lncRNA (ENSSAUG00010018346.1)". Lineage: Eukaryota; Metazoa; Chordata; Actinopteri; Spariformes; Sparidae. The record is from RNAcentral.
UUCACAAUAAAUCUCCACUUCCUGUUAAACAUGAUAAGUUGGGCUACAGAAGCCGCACAGGAUCAUCGCAAACAUACGAGUCAAACUAAACAGGAAUUAACAGCAGUUUUCCAACCAUAUUUCUCAAGAUUGCAAUAAAAUAAACUUCUUCUCUUACUCUUUGUACUGUGCAGUUGUCGUUUAAUCUCUCUAAAGAUUGAAUUUGCUUUAUAUAAUUGAGGUCUCAUGAGUAAAAACAAGGAAAUAACAUCAAUUCAAUAAUUUUCUCCUUGCUGCUGCUCUUUUCACAGAUUCUGAUAUCACAGAGGAGCUCAUUAAAAUAAAAAACAGCCUCACCCAUUAUUUUUUAAGCCGUUUUAAUGUUUUGGAUACUAAAUAUUGUUAAGUAGCCUUCACAUGAAUGCUCGUUUGACGGUUUUCACACUUCCAUCCAUGGACAGUGUGGAGUGGCUGCACCCUCGCCGCUCUCUGCUGACCACACGGGCUGAAAAACUGCCAACGGCGAACAAAAUUCAUGUCUACAUUUGCAACUAGUCUGUGAAAAGUAACACCUAAAACUGAGUGGGAACGAUGCUGUUAAACUGAAGUCUGUAGUUUCCUCUUUAUUCAUGUUUCACCGCGUCACCUGCUGACGAGUAUAUAAGGUGAUCCUCGGACACAGGUGGAGCUCCUCAUCAUGCCGAUCUGAAGAGGUAAGAGUGACGUUCAGAACAUAUUCUUGUUAUUUUUAGUCAAAUAUACACAAAUGUCUUAAUAGCAGCUAUUUUAGAAGGCUUAUCGGAUCUAAAUCUUACUAUUGCCACACAAUUAGUAAAUGAGAAACCAUACAACUGUCAUCUUUUUACGUAACAAUUGUGCAACUGUUGUCCCCAGAUGGCUGUCUUAGCCGUGGCAGUGUUUGUAGCGUUGUCAUCCUGUGCAGUUGGCUGCUCGGGAAGCACAAAUUCUACUGAGCUGAUGUUAUGGAGGAUGGAAGAUCAACCUCUGGCUGUGCGACUAGCUGCUGUGAUCAAGGUGUUGUGACAUACCUGUGACCUGACGAGCUGAAUAAUUGAUUUGGCAAUUGAAAGAAAGGCGGCAAUAGAACAGUAUAAGAAGACUGUAACACAUUUUCACUUAAAGGUCCAAUAUGUAGGAUUUCAAAGGGUGUUUUCAUUGGUUUAUAAUCACCUGAAAAGUUUAUAAGGUAGCCCAGAAUGGACAAAUUAAGCACUGAGUCCAUAGAGGGACUUGAGGGUGAGAUGAGAUGCCACUAAAUCCUACACGCUUGACCUGACUUUGUACACAAGUACUGGCGUC